ACCUCAGGCACAGCAGAAUACUGCCACUGGGGAAAGCCCUGGAGAUGUAAUGGGUGUGGAAAAGCAUUCUCAGUGACAGCCACCCUCAUUUCACAUCGCAGAUUUACACACAGAAAACUCAUGAAUGUAAUGAAUGUGGAAAAUUCUUUCACCAGGAGUCACAUCUCAGCUGACAUCAGAGAACUCACGGGACAGAAACCUUAAGAUUGUAACAAAUGUGGAAAAAUCUUUGGUAUGAAAUCACACCCCAGAAAACAUCAGAGAAACAGUCUAAGGGGAAGGCCUGAAUGGUAGAAGCUAUAUGUGCACUAAAAUUCAUUCUCUUUUCUCUGGAACACAUACUUACCCUCCAUUUCUCAGCCUCUCUUUAUGAGUGGCACAAAGUAACAGCCCUGUCAAGGUAAGUGCAGGUAUAAGUGAUGGGCAUUACUUCCAGGACUGGCCCACAUAAAAACUUGAAUGCAGUCCUCCUUGAUUUCUUAUGAUCUCUGGGACUGAAAUGCAGAUGACCCCCACAGAGCCUUAGGAGCCACAGGGAGGAAAAGUUCACCUUGAUUUAAGACAAAAGGAACUGAUCAGAUAGAGCAGAGAUUUCCC
RNAcentral lists this long non-coding RNA (597 nucleotides) under Marmota monax (woodchuck). Lineage: Eukaryota; Metazoa; Chordata; Mammalia; Rodentia; Sciuridae. The record is from RNAcentral.